GAUGAACGCUAGCUACAGGCUUAACACAUGCAAGUCGAGGGGAAACGACAUCGAAAGCUUGCUUUUGAUGGGCGUCGACCGGCGCACGGGCGAGUAACGCGUAUCCAACCUGCCCAUCACUUGGGAAUAACCUUGCGAAAGUAAGACUAAUACCCAAUGAUAUCCUACGAAGGCAUCGGAAUGGGAUUAAAGAUUUAUCGGUGAUGGAUGGGGAUGCGUCUGAUUAGCUUGUUGGCGGGGUAACGGCCCACCAAGGCAACAAUCAGUAGGGGUUCGGAGAGGAAGGUCCCCCACAUUGGAACUGAGACACGGACCAAACUCCUACGGGAGGCAGCAGUGAGGAAUAUUGGACAAUGGGCGAGAGCCUGAACCAGCCAAGUAGCGUGCAGGAAGACGGCCCUAUGGGUUGUAAACUGCUUUUAUAAGGGAAUAAAGUGGGUCGCGUGUGACUUUUUGCAUGUACCUUACGAAUAAGGACCGGCUAAUUCCGUG
Molecule: ribosomal RNA, 492 nt
Filed under: uncultured bacterium
Lineage: Bacteria
Description: partial 16S ribosomal RNA
Rfam family: Bacterial small subunit ribosomal RNA
Source: RNAcentral